UUUUAGCGAAGUUGGUAGUUUAGUACAAUUCACAUAGGAGAUGUAGAAGCAACUUUAACACCUUAAAGUUAAGCCUUAAGUUUAUUUUAUACAAAAUUGAUCCAGUAAUAUGCUACAACUGUAUACAAGAGAGUCCACAAAGAGAACACGAACAGAUAUGCUACAUUUGGCAGAAGCACUUUUUGAGGCACUAGGUACAGUCAGUCAAGUUAUUGCCAUCACUUAAGACGUCCACUGCUGAUAGAUAAUUGCUAUGCAGGUCUCACCAUGUAGCGGCUCCAGAAACUGCGAUUUCUUUCCUCGAGUGGCGCGCGUGCAACAACGCUACCGUCUACGCCCAUACAGCAGACGACUGACUCCCCUAAUCAGUCGCCCGCUACUGUCUCUGUACUAAAUAAAUCUUU
Molecule: non-coding RNA, 404 nt
Organism: Spodoptera litura
Lineage: Eukaryota; Metazoa; Arthropoda; Insecta; Lepidoptera; Noctuidae
Source: RefSeq, a predicted model, not a curated record